RNAcentral lists this ribosomal RNA (507 nucleotides) under uncultured bacterium. Its description in RNAcentral is "bacterial SSU rRNA". It matches the Rfam family "Bacterial small subunit ribosomal RNA", at positions 28 to 525 of the family's 1533-position model. The record is from RNAcentral.
GACGAACGCUGGCGGCGUGGAUUAGGCAUGCAAGUCGAACGGUAUCAUCCUUUCGGGGGUGAGAGAGUGGCGAACUGGUGAGUAACACGUAGGUUAUCUACCCUCAAGACGGGGACAACCCAGGGAAACUUGGGCUAAUACCGGAUGUGAGCAACUUUUAGUUGUUUGAAAGGUGGCGUAAGCUGUCGCUUGGGGAUGAGCCUGCGUCCUAUUAGUUAGUUGGUGAGGUAACGGCUCACCUAGGCAAUGAUAGGUAGGCGGCCUUAACGGGUGGUCGCCCACACUGGGAUUGAGAUACGGCCCAGACUCCUACGGGAGGCAGCAGUCGAGAAUAGUCUACAAUGGUCGGAAGACUGAUAGUGCGACGCCGCGUGAACGAUGAAUCCCUUCGGGGGUGUAAAAGUUCUUUUAUAUGUGAGCAGUGCUUCUUAUAUUAACAGUAUGGGGAAGAGAUAUUAGCAUAUGAAUAAGCAACGGCUAAACUCCGUGCCAGCAGCCGCGGUAAUA